RNAcentral lists this ribosomal RNA (440 nucleotides) under uncultured bacterium. RNAcentral describes it as "partial 16S ribosomal RNA". It matches the Rfam family "Bacterial small subunit ribosomal RNA", at positions 338 to 795 of the family's 1533-position model. The record is from RNAcentral.
CCUACGGGAGGCAGCAGUGGGGAAUAUUGCACAAUGGGGGAAACCCUGAUGCAGCGACGCCGCGUGAGUGAAGAAGUAAUUCGUUACGUAAAGCUCUAUCAGCAGGGAAGAAAAUUACGGUACCUGAGUACUAAGCCCCGGCUAACUACGUGCCAGCCGCCGCGGUCAUACGUAGGGGGCAAGCGUUAUCCGGACUUACUGGGUGUACAGGGGGCGUAGGCGGUGCGCGAAGAUUGCGAGGAAAUGCCGCAGCAUAACUGCGGAACUGCUUUGGAAACUGGCGAAAUAGAGUGCGGGAGGGGUAAGCGGAAUUCCUAGUGUAGCGGUGAAAUGCGUAGAUAUUAGGAGGAACACCGGUGGCGAAGGCGGGUUACUGGACCGUAACUGACGUUGAGGCUCGAAAGCGUGGGGAGCAAACAGGAUUAGAUACCCCGGUAGUC